This 332-nucleotide unclassified non-coding RNA is filed under the name soil metagenome. Its description in RNAcentral is "partial contains 5.8S ribosomal RNA, internal transcribed spacer 2, and large subunit ribosomal RNA". The stretch from base 1 to 120 matches the Rfam family "5.8S ribosomal RNA", at positions 35 to 154 of the family's 154-position model. The record is from RNAcentral.
GAUGAAGAACGCAGCGAAAUGCGAUAAGUAGUGUGAAUUGCAGAAUUCAGUGAAUCAUCGAAUCUUUGAACGCACAUUGCGCCCUUUGGUAUUCCUUAGGGCAUGCCUGUUCGAGCGUCAUUUAAACCUUCAAGCUAGGCUUGGUGUUGGGUGACUGUCCGCUUCACGGCGGACUCGCCUCAAAAUUAUUGGCGGCCGGUACAUUGGCUUCGAGCGCAGCAGAAACGCGAACUCGGGCCCGUCGUAUUGGCUCCCAGAAGCUAUCUUCACAAUUUUGACCUCGGAUCAGGUAGGGAUACCCGCUGAACUUAAGCAUAUCAAUAAGCGGAGGA